Molecule: long non-coding RNA, 1035 nt
Organism: Frankliniella occidentalis (western flower thrips)
Lineage: Eukaryota; Metazoa; Arthropoda; Insecta; Thysanoptera; Thripidae
Exons: 3
Source: RefSeq, a predicted model, not a curated record
GCUACGUGUGAAGGUAGGGUUCCCCUCCCGUUGCGGUGUAAAGAGCUGAUAUGGAUAAAUGUCAACGCUGGUGGGUGCUCGCGGGUGGCCAGCGGGCAGUUGGUGACAGUUGUCGGCAAGAGACCCAGCAGGCAGCAAGUGAGCUACAGGUGAGAAGAGAUCAGGAGUCACCGAGAAGAGGCGCUCAUCAGAGAGAAAGUGGAAUAAGAGAGAGAGGGGGAGAGAGAGAGAGCGAGCAACAGUGAGAGGAAACAGCGAGUGAAUUUGGAGAGAGAAAAUAGAAGAAAAUUAUAAGAAGUGAUCACGAAAAUGUCACGAAAAUGUGCAUGGUGUGGGAAGGCCUUUGCUGAUGGGGAACUGUUGCUGGCCCACAUCGAUCAGCAGCAUGCCCCAGCGAGAGCGACAUCACAGGGGGAAGAGCACAAGUGUGAACAGUGUGACAAGAGUCUUAAGACGAAGAGUGCAUUAACAAGACAUAGAAGUGAAGUGCACAGUGUAGUUAGGGAAAAGUGUGAAAAGUGUGAAAAGACAUUUAAAAGUAAGAGAGCGCUUAGUGCUCAUACAACGGAGCAGCAUGGGGAUAGAGAGAGGUUUAAGUGUGAUAAGUGUGGUGCAGACUUCACGCGGGUGUAUGAACUGAAUCUACAUCAGAAGCGGCGGUGUGGGUCAGUGCUAUCCGCCCGUGUUCAGAGGAGAAAGGGAGUUAUCACUCGUCACUGCAGCAAGUGUCAGCGGAGCUUCGACAGCAGUUUGGAGGCAAUCCGUCACAGGAGACUCUCUCAUCCCGUGCAACGAAAAAGGUUGGUGUGUGUGUAUUGUAAGCGGGUGUUUUACUCUGUGGGGUCACGCGCCCGACAUGUGCUCCUGUGUGCGGAGAGAAAGAAGAGACGGGAGCGCUAUGUAGAGCGUGUAGCGGCGAGGAGUAGUGGAGAGGUAGCCUGGGAGACUCAGAAGGCAGUGGAAGGGAAUGCAAGAAUCCACUCUCUAAAUGUCCUUGCAAAAAAUGACCUCCAGAUGGCCAUGUUAGAAAGUAAA